Long non-coding RNA from Agrilus planipennis (emerald ash borer), 2857 nucleotides. RefSeq lists it as uncharacterized. The record is from RefSeq and is a predicted model, not a curated record. NCBI's taxonomy places the organism in Eukaryota, Metazoa, Arthropoda, Insecta, Coleoptera, Buprestidae. The transcript is spliced from 6 exons.
UAAAUUUUUCAUUGUAAUUUAAAAGAAAAUUGUCUGAAAUUUUGUAUUUAUUCCUCAUUUAUCCAAUUGUUACCUGGUAUAAUAGAUAAAUGUUAAUCAAGUGAAAAGUUUAAACCAAUUAUAACUGUUUUUUGGAGUAUCGUUGGCUAUAUUUUGUAGUGAGUCUGACAAUAUCACAUGAGGGACGUAGAAAGAGCCCCACGCAAGGGUAAUAUAAAUAGAAAUAACCGUUGAGCGUUUUGCACCCCCUUAUUUUUAAAAUUUUCUUGUUUUUAUUUUUAUUAAGCAAUAUUGAAAGGUUAGUUUUUCCCCUACUAUAAGGCCUAAGACUGUCAUAAUCACAUGAGGGACGUAGAAAGAGCCCUACGCAUGGACAAUAUGGACUGAAGUAACCGAUUGUCAAUUUCACAUGACGGAGGUAGAAGGAGCCCCACGCAAGGACAAUAUGGACAGGAGGAACCGGUGAGCUAUUGGCACCUCUCAUUUUUAAAAUCCUUUUUACAUGUAAGAAUGUCAAAAUCAUAUGAGCGACGUAGAAGGAAUCCCACGCAAGCACCAAAUGGAUAGAAGUAACCGGUGAGCAUUUUGAACAUUUUUUGUUAAAAUCUUCUUGUUUGUUAGCAUCUAAUUCUUAGGUAAAUGAACCCUAUUUUUUUCUUGUGUAUAUGGCGAUUAAGUUAUUGUAAUGUGUUAAAGCAAUGCUUAGCCGUCUUCGUGUGAUGAUACAAGGGAGUUUUUAUUAACAAAACUAGUAUAAAAUUCACAAGCACAUUGUUCGAAAACAUUAACUUGCUUUUUAUAAGAAACGAGCAGUUUAUUUUUAGGAAGCUGUUUAAGUAAUUCGUAAUCACAAUUAAUUUACAAAAAGUUACACUUAUUUAAAUCACUCAAUGAACAGACGAGCCGUUUGAUGAUUACUUCAGUAGGGUAUGCAGGUAAUGUUAGUAAGGAGGCUGGACGGAUCAUAUGUAAUACUGAGUUCAUUUGGACAUUAUAUUAUGGGCUAAAUUUUCGAAAAUACAACAUGUUUAUUUAAUUUGAGCAGCGUAUGCUUUGCUUUGUCUGGUAUUUUUCCUUUCAUGUAUCGUUAGUCGCAUGGAACGUACCCAAUUUCUUCAAAGCAUCAAUUGAGGUUAACAUGCAUCUAUGGUUAUUUGAUAUUGUUAUUUUGAGAAUUUAUUGUGUUUUGUAAUGUGUUAGCUUCUUCAUUUUAAUGCUUUUGUUAAUUUUUGCAUUUCAGUUGGUUUUUGAUAGUUGACUUAAUAGUCAACUGUAGUGUAGGACUCCUAGGACUUUGUUGUUUGCUGCUUACCAUUAACCUAGAACGAAUUUGCAGUGAAAUGGCAGUGCAAUGUCUGGGGAUCGUCUCUGUGAUUGUGUGAGCAUCUAGUUCUUAAAUAAUUGACUUAAUAGUCUAGUGUAGUGUAGGGCUCCGAGGACUUUGUUGUUUGCUGCUUACCACUAACCUAGAACGAAUUUGCAGUGAAAUGGCUGUGCAACAUCUGGGGAUCGUCUCUGUGAUUGUAUGGUUGACUUAAUGGUCUACUGUGCUGUAGGACUCCCUGGACAUUGUUGUUUGCUGCUUACCCCUUACCUAACACGAAUUGGCAGUCAAUAAUGCCUCAUAUCACACCAUAUCCCACACCCAAGUCUCGUACCCUAAAUGCGACACCGCACAUCCACAGUAAAUAGCCACACACUUCAUGCCCCAGUUAUGCAACCUAUCGCGCAACACCAUACACACAUCUAACGCCACUCCCAGCAUCUGGUAUCUCGAAUCCGCGCCCGUUGUCUGUUCAGCAUUGUCUGAUAACCAGUGGAUGAUGUACUGUGGUGUUCGAUGUGUGUUGAACGCUUCAUGUGGGAGUGGUCCUAUCUCGAGGUCGGGAAUGUUGUGCUAGGUAUCCCAUGCGGCAGUCGGACAGCAAUAUUCCGAAAUCGGGGUGCGGUGUUUGCUGCAGAGGCCGGAGGUCCGUAAUCAGAUUUCGACUAUGUGUGGUGUGAAAUGUAUUUUUGGAAUGCAAGUUCGACGUUCUCAACGUUGUGUCAGGGGUGCUACAUUUGGUGUCGUCGACUGGUUAUUCUUUGUACGGUAUUUGAUGCACGGUUCUUUGUUUCAGAUAAGCGCCGUUCGGCGUUGUGAUCGGAUUACGGCAUUCAAAAAGUAGUGGAUAGUAUAUGAAAACCUACGGACAUAAAAGGUAUUGUGCCUUGUAGCUGUUGGCGCCCCUUGUUUGUUGCAAGGCAUUCGGCAACUGAUGUGUCGGAUAUUCGGCGUUGUUACCCACAUUGCGGUCUGGGAAUGCAGUACUAGGUAGUCAGUGAGUUGUGUCCGGUGUCAGGAUAUUAUGCCUUGUCCGAUACGGUUCACCAGGGUUCAUGUAACAGGUAAGUGAUAAACGUUACGUUUUUGGAGUGUAGUAGUACUAAUGUAGAGGUCGUCUCGUCAGGUUAGGUCAGGUAAGGUAACGUCUGGGCAUUUCUGGUCAGAUCAGGUGGAAUCAGUUCAGGUCGGGUUGGAUCAGGUCAAGUCGUAUUGGGCCUGGGCAGGUCGGAUUAGGUUAGGUCAGGCACGGCCGAAUUAGUUCAGGUCAAGUCGGUUCAUUUCAGGUCGAAUUAGGUCAGGUCCCGUCAGUUCAGGUCACGUCGGAUUAAGUCAGGUCGGGUUAUGUCGUGCCCGGUGAGGUUAAUUCGUGUUGCGUCGGGUUAGGUCAAAUCGAUCAUCAGGUCGUGUCAUUUCAGGUCAGGUCGAGUUCGGUCAGAUGGCGUCAUAUUAAGUAGGGUCACUAAGUCGUGCCAUUUCAGGUCCGGUCAGGUUGUCAUGUCCAGUCAGGUCAGGUCAGGUCAGGUCAGGUCA